GGAAGGAUGAGAAGCUUCGACUAAGGUUCGAUUCGAGCGUCAGCGAGAAAGCGUUGCCGCAGGCAACGACCCGAAGGGCGAAGCGCGCAGCGCUGAGUCAUCCUUCCCCCACCACCA
Molecule: small RNA, 117 nt
Filed under: Salmonella enterica
Lineage: Bacteria; Pseudomonadati; Pseudomonadota; Gammaproteobacteria; Enterobacterales; Enterobacteriaceae
Also listed under: 3 other names
Description: partial RtT sRNA
Rfam family: RtT RNA
About the family: This family represents a bacterial cis-regulatory element known as RtT RNA. The exact function of RtT is unknown although it is thought that it may be involved in changing the cellular response in relation to amino acid starvation.
Source: RNAcentral